RNAcentral lists this ribosomal RNA (587 nucleotides) under uncultured bacterium. RNAcentral's name for it is "partial 16S ribosomal RNA". It matches the Rfam family "Bacterial small subunit ribosomal RNA", at positions 355 to 1375 of the family's 1533-position model. The record is from RNAcentral.
UGGGGAAUUUUGGACAAUGGGCGAAAGCCUGAUCCAGCAAUGCCGCGUGUGUGAAGAAGGCCUUCGGGUUGUAAAGCACUUUUGUCCGGAAAGAAAUCCUUGGCUCUAAUACAGUCGGGGGAUGACGGUACCGGAAGAAUAAGCACCGGCUAACUACGUGCCAGCAGCCGCGGUAAUACGUAGGGUGCAAGCGUUAAUCGGAAUUACUGGGCGUAAAGCGUGCGCAGGCGGUUUGCUAAGACCGAUGUGAAAUCCCCGGGCUCAACCUGGGGACUGCAUUGGUGACUGGCAGGCUAGAGUAUGGCAGAGGGGGGUAGAAUUCCACGUGUAGCAGUGAAAUGCGUAGAGAUGUGGAGGAAUACCGAUGGCGAAGGCAGCCCCCUGGGCCAAUACUGACGCUCAUGCACGAAAGCGUGGGGAGCAAACAGGAUUAGAUACCCUGGUAGUCCACGCCCUAAAACGAUGUCAACUAGUUGUUGGGGGAUUCAUUUCCUUAGUAACGUAGCUAACGCGUGAAGUUGACCGCCUGGGGAGUACGGUCGCAAGAUUAAAACUUAAAGGAAUUGACGGGGUCAUAGCUGUUUCCU